This is a long non-coding RNA of Papaver somniferum (opium poppy), 715 nucleotides long. RefSeq lists it as uncharacterized. NCBI's taxonomy places the organism in Eukaryota, Viridiplantae, Streptophyta, Magnoliopsida, Ranunculales, Papaveraceae. The record is from RefSeq and is a predicted model, not a curated record. The transcript is spliced from 2 exons.
GGCAGUGCAAGUAUACAAACCAUUUGCUCUAUAAGCAUUCUGUUUUCGGGGGAAUUGUGGGUGGGUUGACUACCCUUGCAGCGAUGAAGAAGGUUCAUGUGGAUGACAGUCGCCGACAUUUGGGUGUUCAGCAGUUCAUGGCCUUCCAGUUUCAAUGCCGAUGAUAGCCUCAUCGAUUCUCCGCCAGCAAGGACUCCUUAGUCCAUUUAAGGAGGGAUUUUCGAGGUUCUUAUGGAUUUCACCUCUGGGUGUUGUGAACUUCGCAGGUUACAAGCUUGCACAGAAGGAAAUGGACAAAAGAUGAAGAGCGGUCAACAAAUAAUCAGCUAAACAGUUUUGUUUCGAGGCAAAGGAAAAUUUAUUAAUAUGGAGUGGUGUUUACUUAAUUAGCAUGAGGGCAGAGAAUGAUCUAUCAUGGAAGAUUAAAGAGUUGCGUGCAUGUCUAGAUUUAACUCAUAAUAUGAUUUUUAAAGACUUGAGAGUUUCAAGACUGGAAGAUGAUGCGCUGAUGGACUUCCUCUGGGAAAAUGCACAUGAACUUCAUAGAUGUUCCUUUCUGGGGAAAAAGGCUCUGAAAAAUCUUCCUUACGUUCGCAUGAAUUCUGUAAGCUCCACUGCUCCGGUAUCAGAGAAACCAACAUAGGCGGAUAAACUUUUAUUAUUUUAAAACGUUGUUUGGAUGGAUGCACAUCAUUUGUGAAAAAAUUGUUGGUUU